AGUGAACGCUGGCGGCAGGCCUAACACAUGCAAGUCGAGCGGCAGCGGGUCCUUCGGGAUGCCGGCGAGCGGCGGACGGGUGAGGAAUACAUCGGAAUCUGCCCUGUCGUGGGGGAUAACCUAGGGAAACUUAGGCUAAUACCGCAUACGACCUACGGGUGAAAGCGGGGGAUCGCAAGACCUCGCGCGACAGGAUGAGCCGAUGUCCGAUUAGCUAGUUGGCGGGGUAAAGGCCCACCAAGGCGACGAUCGGUAGCUGGUCUGAGAGGAUGAUCAGCCACACUGGGACUGAGACACGGCCCAGACUCCUACGGGAGGCAGCAGUGGGGAAUAUUGGACAAUGGGCGCAAGCCUGAUCCAGCCAUGCCGCGUGGGUGAAGAAGGCCUUCGGAUUGUAAAGCCCUUUUGUCCGGGAAGAAAUCGUCUGGGCUAAAACCCCGGGCGGAUGACGGUACCGGAAGAAUAAGCACCGGCUAACUUCGUG
RNAcentral lists this ribosomal RNA (484 nucleotides) under uncultured bacterium. Its description in RNAcentral is "partial 16S ribosomal RNA". It matches the Rfam family "Bacterial small subunit ribosomal RNA", at positions 30 to 507 of the family's 1533-position model. The record is from RNAcentral.